GGGCUUGUGGUCUAGUGGUAUGAUUUUCCCUUAGCAUGGGAGAGGUCCGGGGUUCAAGUACGUUCCACACCA
Molecule: non-coding RNA, 72 nt
Organism: Massariosphaeria phaeospora
Lineage: Eukaryota; Fungi; Ascomycota; Dothideomycetes; Pleosporales
Source: the annotation of a GenBank genome assembly